This 496-nucleotide ribosomal RNA is filed under the name uncultured bacterium. RNAcentral's name for it is "bacterial SSU rRNA". It matches the Rfam family "Bacterial small subunit ribosomal RNA", at positions 335 to 829 of the family's 1533-position model. The record is from RNAcentral.
ACACCUACGGGUGGCAGCAGUAGGGAAUAUUGGUCAAUGGGCGAGGGCCUGAACCAGCCAUGCCGCGUGCAGGAAGACGGCCUUCUGGGUUGUAAACUGCUUUUGGCCGGGAACAAAAAGCCCCUGCGGGGGAAAUUGAGUGUACCGGCAGAAUAAGCACCGGCUAACUCCGUGCCAGCAGCCGCGGUAAUACGGAGGGUGCAAGCGUUGUCCGGAUUUAUUGGGUUUAAAGGGUGCGUAGGCGGGCCAAUAAGUCAGUGGUGAAAGCCCACAGCUCAACUGUGGAACCGCCAUUGAUACUGUUGGCCUUGAGUACCGUUGGGGCAGGCGGAAUUUAUGGUGUAGCGGUGAAAUGCAUAGAUACCAUAAAGAACACCGAUAGCGUAGGCAGCUUGCUAAACGGUAACUGACGCUGAGGCACGAAAGCAUGGGGAGCGAACAGGAUUAGAUACCCUGGUAGUCCAUGCCGUAAACGAUGAUUACCCGAUGUGCGCGA